This 790-nucleotide ribosomal RNA is filed under the name uncultured bacterium. Its description in RNAcentral is "bacterial SSU rRNA". It matches the Rfam family "Bacterial small subunit ribosomal RNA", at positions 8 to 796 of the family's 1533-position model. The record is from RNAcentral.
AGAGUUUGAUCCUGGCUCAGGAUGAACGCUAGCGGCAGGCCUAAUACAUGCAAGUCGAGGGGCAGCACGGUAGCAAUACUGGUGGCGACCGGCGCACGGGUGCGUAACACGUAUACAAUCUGCCUUUAACAGGGGGAUAGCCUUUCGAAAGAGAGAUUAAUACCCCAUAACACUAAGAGUAGCAUUACUUUUGGUUAAAAGCUCCGGCGGUUAAAGAUGAGUAUGCGUCUGAUUAGCUAGUUGGUGAGGUAACGGCUCACCAAGGCGACGAUCAGUAGGGGAUCUGAGAGGACUACCCCCCACACGGAUACUGAGACACGGAUCCGACUCCUACGGGAGGCAGCAGUAAGGAAUAUUGGACAAUGCCCGCAAGGGUGAUCCAGCCAUGCCGCGUGCAGGAAGAAGGCGCUAUGCGUCGUAGACUGCUUUUACACCGGAGAAAACCUCCCCUCGUGAGGGGAGCUGAUAGUAUGGUGAGAAUAAGCAUCGGCUAACUUCGUGCCAGCAGCCGCGGUAAGACGAAGGAUGCAAGCGUUAUCCGGAUUCAUUGGGUUUAAAGGGAGCGUAGGUGGACUGAUAAGUCAGUGGUGAAAUCUUUGGGCUUAACCCAAAAAUUGCCAUUGAUACUGUUGGUCUUGAGUACAGUUGCUGUGGGCGGAAUAUGACAUGUAGUGGUGAAAUACAUAGAGAUGUCAUAGAACACCGAUUGCGAAGGCAGCUCACAAAGCUGUAACUGACACUGAGGCUCGAAAGUGCGGGGAUCAAACAGGAUUAGAUACCCUGGUAGUCG